Molecule: long non-coding RNA, 604 nt
Filed under: Monodelphis domestica (gray short-tailed opossum)
Lineage: Eukaryota; Metazoa; Chordata; Mammalia; Didelphimorphia; Didelphidae
Description: lncRNA (ENSMODG00000038082.1)
Source: RNAcentral
AGAGAAUCUAUUGUAAAGCUAAGAAAGGGUCAGCGGAAUCAAGGAGGAGACAUGGAAAUAGCAGAAUGUUGCUUAGCUUGCUCAACAUCUCCUGAGAAUCAUCUACUGCUCAAGCCUGCCUCACUCAAGCGUGGCUGAUAAACACUGUUAGCUGGCACUGACCAGUAGGACGAGCGAACAAUGUUCUUGAAAGGCAAAGUCAAAGAAUCGUCCAUUGGUCAAGCUAGUUGUCAGAAGUUCUAGUGGUGAGAGGAGGCUGGUCUGGGUUAGGACCUUGUUUCAGUUCCAAGGAAUCAGCUCCAUGGCAUGGGAACUGAUCAUAGCCAAGAGUCCAUAUCAGAGCAGCUCCUGGAUAGAAAGGAAGACUAAUGGGAGAUCAGAUGAAGAUAGAUCCUGAUAAAGAUUUUGAGAAGUCACCAAGUACAUGCCUAAAGGUCUUUAGGUAAUAGAGUCUGAGAAUGCUGGUAAAGGAGAAACAGCUGUGUACACAGAUUCCAGAAAAAAUGUGGUCCCUUCGAGGCAAAGAUUCUGGGAGUCGACAGAUCCUUCUAUUUAUAGAGGAAAAGAAGUUGAAGUUUUUUCUAGUCUGAUGACAUGGUAUGUG